UACAGAGGUCUCAAGCGUUGUUCGGAUUCAUUGGGCGUAAAGGGUGUGUAGGUGGCGCGCUAAGUCGGGUGUGAAAUUUCGGAGCUUAACUCCGAAACUGCAUUCGAUACUGGCGUGCUUGAGGACUGGAGAGGAGACUGGAAUUCAUGGUGUAGCAGUGAAAUGCGCAGAUAUCAGGAGGAACACCGGUGGCGAAGGCGGGUCUCUGGGCCGAUACUGACGCUGAGGAGCGAAAGCGUGGGGAGCGAACAGG
RNAcentral lists this ribosomal RNA (253 nucleotides) under uncultured bacterium. Its description in RNAcentral is "partial 16S ribosomal RNA". It matches the Rfam family "Bacterial small subunit ribosomal RNA", at positions 524 to 776 of the family's 1533-position model. The record is from RNAcentral.